GAUGAACGCUAGCGGCAUGCCUAACACAUGCAAGCCGAGCGGUAUUGUUGCUUCGGAUAUGAGAGAGCGGCGUACGGAUUCGUAACACGUCUGCAACCUGCCUUUAACUGGGGGAUAGCCUUUCGAAAGGAAGAUUAAGACUCCAUAAUAUAUUGAACGGCCUCGUUUAUUAUUGAAAGUUCCGUCGGAUAGUGAUGGGAUCGCACACGAUUAGCUAGUUGGUGAGGUAACGGCUCACCAAGGCGAUGAUCUUUAGGCGGCCUGAGAGGGUGAUCCCCCACCCUGGUACUGGGACACGCACCAGGCUCCUACGGGACGCAGCAGUGAGGAAUAUUGGGCAAUGGGUGCAAGCCUGAACCAGCCAGCCCGCGUGAAGGACGGCUGUCCUAUGGGUUGUAAACUUCUUUUGUAUAGGGAUAAACCUACCCUCGGGAGGGUAGCUGAAGGUACUAUACGAAUAAGCACCGGCUAACUCCGUG
This 479-nucleotide ribosomal RNA is filed under the name uncultured bacterium. RNAcentral's name for it is "partial 16S ribosomal RNA". It matches the Rfam family "Bacterial small subunit ribosomal RNA", at positions 28 to 507 of the family's 1533-position model. The record is from RNAcentral.